RNAcentral lists this ribosomal RNA (422 nucleotides) under uncultured bacterium. RNAcentral's name for it is "bacterial SSU rRNA". It matches the Rfam family "Bacterial small subunit ribosomal RNA", at positions 355 to 774 of the family's 1533-position model. The record is from RNAcentral.
UGAGGAAUAUUGGGCAAUGCCCGCAAGGGUGACCCAGCAACGCCGCGUGGAGGAUGAAUGUCGUAAGAUUGUAAACUCCUGUUAGAGGGGAAGAAUAGUACCGGUUGGACCGGUAUAUGACUGUACCCUCAGAGAAAGCCCCGGCUAACUACGUGCCAGCAGCCGCGGUAAUACGUAGGGGGCAAGCGUUGUCCGGAUUUACUGGGUGUAAAGGGCGCGCAGGCGGGAUAAAAAGUCAGUGGUGAAAUCCUACAGCUUAACUGUAGAACUGCCUUUGAUACUUUUAUUCUUGAGCUCGGGAGAGAGAGACGGAAUUCCAGGUGUAGUGGUGAAAUACGUAGAUAUCUGGAAGAACACCAGUUGCGAAGGCGGUCUCUUGGUCCGACACUGACGCUGAGGCGCGAAAGCGUGGGGAGCAAACA